This is a non-coding RNA of Acanthosepion pharaonis, 114 nucleotides long. The record is from the annotation of a GenBank genome assembly. Lineage: Eukaryota; Metazoa; Mollusca; Cephalopoda; Sepiida; Sepiidae.
UUACAGCCAUAUCAUGUUGAAACACCAGUUUACAUAUGAUCACCGAAGUUAAGCAACACCAAGCCUGGUCAGUACCUAGAUGGGUGAUCACUUGUGAAUACCAUGUGCUGUAAG